UACAGAGGGUGCGAGCGUUGUUCGGAAUUAUUGGGCGUAAAGCGCGCGUAGGCGGAUCGCUAAGUCAGGGGUGAAAUCCCAGGGCUCAACCCUGGAACUGCCUUUGAUACUGACGAUCUGGAGAUCGGGAGAGGUUGGUGGAAUUCCGAGUGUAGAGGUGAAAUUCGUAGAUAUUAGGAAGAACACCGGUGGCGAAGGCGGCCAUCUGGCUCGGUACUGACGCUCAGGCGCGAAAGCGUGGGGAGCAAACAGG
This 253-nucleotide ribosomal RNA is filed under the name uncultured bacterium. RNAcentral's name for it is "partial 16S ribosomal RNA". It matches the Rfam family "Bacterial small subunit ribosomal RNA", at positions 524 to 776 of the family's 1533-position model. The record is from RNAcentral.